GGCUUUGUAGUUAAAAAUAAUAUUAAAUUGCAAAUUUAAAGUUAGAAACCUUCUCAAGGCCU
This 62-nucleotide transfer RNA is filed under the name Rybaxis sp. 1 EF-2015. RNAcentral describes it as "tRNA-Cys". The record is from RNAcentral. Lineage: Eukaryota; Metazoa; Arthropoda; Insecta; Coleoptera; Staphylinidae.